GACGAACGCUGGCGGCGUGCUUAACACAUGCAAGUCGAACGGAAAGGCCCUGCUUUUGUGGGGUGCUCGAGUGGCGAACGGGUGAGUAACACGUGAGUAACCUGCCCUUGACUUUGGGAUAACUUCAGGAAACUGGGGCUAAUACCGGAUAGGAGCUCCUGCUGCAUGGUGGGGGUUGGAAAGUUUCGGCGGUUGGGGAUGGACUCGCGGCUUAUCAGCUUGUUGGUGGGGUAGUGGCUUACCAAGGCUUUGACGGGUAGCCGGCCGGAGAGGGUGACCGGCCACUUUGGGACUGGGAUACGGCCCAGACUCCUACGGGAGGCAGCAGUGGGGAAUAUUGCAAAAUGGGCGGAAGCCUGAUGCAGCAACGCCGCGUGCGGGAUGACGGCCUUCGGGUUGUAAACCGCUUUCGCCUGUGACGAAGCGUGAGUGACGGUAAUGGGUAAAGAAGCACCGGCUAACUACGUG
Molecule: ribosomal RNA, 468 nt
Filed under: uncultured bacterium
Lineage: Bacteria
Description: partial 16S ribosomal RNA
Rfam family: Bacterial small subunit ribosomal RNA
Source: RNAcentral